UUACCUCCACAGUUUAUUAUUCUAUUCAUUUUUCCUUUGAUAUAAACAACAACAAAGAUAUACACACACAUAAAUCAAACAGUUCACAAAGUUAAAUUCAAGUAAAGGAGACAAACACGGUGAUCAAACCUUAAGAUUUGUUUCGAAAGAGGUUGAUUCAAACACCACUUUAUUUCAAUUCAUGUUAUAUUUCAGCAUGUAUAAAUGUGAUUAUAUGUUAUAUGUGACUCCUUGUGGGGUUUAAAUAUGAGCUGGUGGCGUAGUAGUGCACCAAAUGUUGAUAUGUUGCCGGAUCAUCGAUGUGCUUACUCAUCAAAGUUUGAAUGAUAAAAAUAUAUGCUUAAAGUAUACUAUGUUUGAAUUUAAUAUGUUUAUGAUUCUAUUGAGUGUUUCUAUGAAAGACUCAGCCCCCAACAAUUUCAAAUUAAGAUGAUUAAUUGCAGCAUAGAAGAAAGCGGUGGUGCUUUGAUUUUAAAUCUGAAUGACAUCAUUUGAGUUAUGUUUUGUUCGAAUAAUUGUUUAAAUUUGAAAUAUUUUAAGUUAGUAUUUAUUGACAGUUUGAAGAUUGAAUUGUUGAUAAAAUUAUUUCAUGAUUGAUAGAAUAUUUUUAUUGUGGUUUAUUUAAUUUAUUUGAGUUGCAACACUAGGUUUUAAAUAUUUUCAGUUUCUGCCCAUAUGUUUAAAAAUUCAUCCAGAUCGAAAUACUUGAAAUUUUGGGGUGAUUCUAGAUGGAGAAGAUGGCCACAUGAGUUAUCGAUCUCUUAGAUUUAGAAUAAUGAAUUUUGGUUGUGUAAGACUCAAGUUAUAGAUGUUUUCCUGAGAGCUGCCAAAAUGUACCUAAGAACAAAUAGAUCCGAUUUAAAAUAUAAAAAAAUAAAAACCUAUCUGUCGAUUGAAUUUAUAUACAAAACUUUAACAAGUAAUUUCUCCUAUGUGUAAGAUAUCUACAGUUUAAAUUUUGGAUUUCAUUUAAUUGUCGAACGAACUUUAUUUUAGAAAGCUAUAGAAGAUGAAAGUCUUAACUUUUCGAAAGAAAAUUUCUUUAGUUUGUAAUCAUUUUCCAAAGCCGUAAAGCUUUUAGUCCAAGUUAAUAUUCCACAUUCUAUGAACAAUCUAGGUAGAAUUUUACAAAUAUAAGAUUUUAGUAAUGUUACGAGCUUGGGGUGUUGCAACACUAACAUAUCCACGUGCAUUAAUUCACUCUCCAUUCUUCAUUCUUUCUUGAAGAACCUCCAGUUUUGUUUUCCCAAUCAAGAAAUUGUUUGAGAUUGAACGAUCCAAUCUAGAAUAGAAAUAGGGAACAAGUACAAGAAACAAAAGAAAACAAAUUGAAAUAAUAUCAAUAGUUAAUUGUAGUAUUUGACUAUGUGAAAAACUCAUGCCUUAGCCUAAUUGUUUACUUGUUUGAUUCCUAAAUUAAUUUCCAACACUUUGUUUUUAGGAGAAUUCAAACAUUGACACUUUUGAAGUGAAGUUGGGUAUUCGAUAUUUCAACGAGCCAUUAUGCAUUACAACUUUGCAUUUCCAUUUUAUAAAGGAUGAACGAAUCCAGAACGCUCAGUCAACACUUGAAAGAUCGGCUAGCUAGCUACAAUAUCAAUUUAAAUUUUAGAGUUACUGAGUAUACAUUCUAGAUUACCAAUUUAUUCGACCUUACGUGCGAAAUUAUACUAACCAAAGCAACAUGUCACUUUAAUUAGUUUCUAGAUGGUUAAACAUACAAUUCAAUUUAAUCUUACUAUUAAUGCCGCAGUUUGUAAUAAAUUAUGGAAAGCAGUAAAAACACAAACUUUGAUGAUAGAGAAACCGGACAUGGAAAAAACUCCGGGACCAAACCAGUUACCUUCACUAUAGACAAUUCAGGGAUACAUAGCAAUUCCAAUAACUCCUGUACCCAAUCAGACACAAUGUCAUAGUCUCACGAUCUACUGUCAUAGAUGCUUCUAGCCUACUAGACCUCCUAAUCUACCACCCGUAGCCGCCUACUACCUUAGAUACCUCUAACCUUAUGCUAGACUUCCUGAUCUACCUUCUGCAGCCCAAUCUACUGUCUCCUACAGCCUCUUGGUCUUAUGCUGAAUGUCUCUCCAAGUGGAAGACCAAGAACCGCAUGUUCUUGUGCUUGUAACUGCACUUCAAUCUACAUCUUUCAAUUCCCCAAUGAAAGAGUCACUUCCUUAAUAGAUUAAGGAAACCUAGUGCUUUGUAUUGAGAACCUUGAUGUUUUCCCAAAAACUGGUUGUUGGAUCACAAGAUGAAUAUGGUUGAAUCCUCAAUGAAUUAUGUCUUGGAUCUCUUGAACACAGAUGAGUAGAUAUUGUAUAAUGAAAGAAUAAUAUGGCAACCCCGUAUCUCACGUCCCAAACUUUUCUUUUUAUAUUUGGGGUUAAAUAAGUGUUCUGGGCCAUAUGAAAUUCUCUAAAAUGCGACCUAGGGUUUGGUCACGUAACACUAUCGCUCGAGCGACGUCUAGCAAGAAGCGAGCGAUAGCUUCUCCGCUCGAGCGACGCUUGGGCGAACAGCGGGCAACUAUGGUUUUGCUUCAUUCGCUCGAGCAACAACUUGGCGAGUCUUCUACCUUGUUCCAAAUUCAACCCUAGCAUAAACCAUCUAUACAAAUUGCAAUCCAAGUCCCUGACUUUUACAACAUGUUCAAUUAAGUCCAUUUUGUUCACAGAAUCGCCAAUUACAAUAUAAAACCUAACAAACCCCCCUUUGGCAUUCUGUGACAAAACUGUACAUAUAAAUUUAGGACUAGAAGAUAAAAAACUAUUCUACCCAGUUGACGCCGGGUAGGAUAGUGAUUAUCCCAUUGGCGUGUUGUAGUAGAUGAUUCGUAAGAAAAGAACGAUAGAAAAUGCCCAAAAAAUCAGAGAAAAUACUCUGAAUUCAACUCAAUAUUAUUAAUAAUGCAGAAUGAUCAAAACUAACCCACAAGCCGAGUUAAAUAGCUGCGAAAUAUGAAAUUAUGGGAAAAUUACCAAAAAUGGCAAAAUCCCAAAAUUAUACCAAAACAAAAUAUUAAGUAAAAGAAGUAAGUUUCCAAAAAUUUGGCUCAAUUCGAGCUUUCUAACAUAUGAAAAAAAGGAAAUGAAAUAUUACCAUAAAUAGUAAAAAAAAUAACAUAAAAUUGAAUUUUGAAAAGGAAAACAGUGGAUUUUGGGCUCGAAAUUGACAUCCACCGAGCAUAGCUUGCGGCCACAACGUGCGUGCCGAAGAGAGCUUUUCGGAUUGGGGUCAUAAUAGCAAUUCCGAUAACCGUAGCCAAAGGUAUGGCCAAAUUACCAAAGACGCGUCGAAUUCCCCCAAUAAAGGAAAUAAUGGUAAUUCACUUUCCAUCUUUGUGCCGAUCCGCCAUCUCAUUGUAUCUCAGCGCCAUCAUUGUGCUAUCUGACAAAUCAGCAUCACUUGACUCGGAUCCUCCUGCAUCACCAGUAUACCCAAUUGCCGAGUCUUGCGCUCCUUGUUGUACUUAUUUCCUGAAAUCUAAAAACUCAAAUACCCAAUGUAAAAGCACUUGAUAUAGGAGAUAUAAAAAUUAAAGCACUUAAUCACAAAUGCCAAUUUGAGGCGUGACCUUGAUGUCAACCAAAACACCAGCAUCACUAAACAUCAAAACUUAACAGAAAUGUAUGAGAUAUGGAAUGCAAUGCGAUGCUCCCUCAUACUGCAAGCUCUCAUGAAUUUGAUGCAAUAAUAUAAUGUAUCUAUGUCUCACCCCAAUGACCCCUAGACAUAGGGAAGAUGCAAUAUGUAAAAUGUCAAUCAAUCAGUGAAAAGAAUGUACAUGUAAAUGCAAAUUCGCUCUACGCUCUUAUUUUCUCCCCGUCAGUUAUACAUUUUUCUCCCCCUUUUUGUUACAAAUGCUGAAGGGAAUACUAUCAAAUUCAAACAGAGCAAUAACAUAUAAUAACUUAAAAAUUCAGUCGAUAGUAUGCAUAAGUAAAAUCAAUAGACUAUAAACCUUCUCACAUACGCAGUUCAGAUCAGAAUGGAGUAAAUAGUACAAGUGACUCAUGUAUGUAAAGUGUCACUAAUCCAAUGCAAGCAGGACUCCAAACCUUAAUUUUGUGAGAAGAGACAUGCUAAUCACUACUAAUAAGUAUAUUCCCCUACUAGUGAAAGUCAAAUCACAAAAGUACAGUAGGACCUAUACUUACUAUUUUUCUUAUUUUUCUGCCCCUUGCUUUGAGCAUUUAUAUUUUUCAAUGUUCCACAUUUUUUAGCUCAUCACAAUUUCAUAUUUUUCACAUUUUUUUCAAGUUCAUUUAUUUUUUCAUCUUAAGUGCAGGUUCUUCUCCAUUAGGUGACUGAAAUGACCCCUGUAGUGAGCUUUUUGUCGGUUAACCCAAAUCAGUUGACCAUAGACACCAGGUUCUAAGAGACCCCGCAAGCUUAAUUGAUCGAGUCAAAUAGGCCCUGAAGAAGAGCAUCGAGAUAAUAAGCAUUUACUUGGGGGAAUUUUUUUGGGUUUAGGUCUACUAAAAGUGGUCAAUUCAUGUUCGAAGUUACCCAAUUAAGAUGUAACAGCCAUCCCAAAUCUCACACACGCGGUAAAGUCUCACUAACAAAUUUAUAGUAGGUACAGUGUAUAUGAUACAUGAAGACACCUAUACUAACCAAUCCAAAGUGACCUAAACAAGUAAUGGAAAUUAUUUUACAGCCUAUCAAUUUCAACUCAUACAUGAUCACAACAUGUAAGUUCAAGAAACAUAUGUCAUCCUGUAGAAGUGUUCCAUAACCAACUAUUUUUGUGUUUUUCAAUUUUUCAAUUUUUUUUUUUUUUGCGCUUUUCAUUUUUACAAAAGUGAAUGCUCACACAUAAAAGAAAAACUAAAAUCAAGCACACAAAACAAGCUAAAAAUAUGUAUGCACCAAAGGAAACCAAUGUAAAUGCAUAUGUAUGAAACCAAAAAUUAUGCUAAAUAAAAAUAAAAUAAAAUAAACACACAAGUGAUGCAUGCACAAAUGAUGUGGCAGUUAAGACCAAGCAUGCAUAAAAAAUAGAAAUAUCUAAUCAUCUAGGUACAUAAGUGCUCUUCCCUUGAGAGUACCGUGAUCUGCUACAAGAUUAGGCAGAUCACUCUUCUUCACCUAAACCUGUCUAGUGGAAGAAUAGUUCCCAGAUAGUUGUGUCACCAAUUUGGUCAAACAAUUCACUUGAUCAGUAAGGAAUACAAUCUGACCAAUAGACACCUGAUUCUUGUUCGUUCUCAAGUUCGUGUUUUUCCUUUUGUUCAGACGGAUAUGACCUAACUCACCACAAUGAAAGAAAGUAGGGAUAAACCUAGGACCUAUGUUAUGCGAAUGUUGAAGUCUAUUCCUAAGUCAACGGGGCCUACACUAUCUGGUAGACCUUUGUCCUACAAAUUCCUUUUCCUUAAGUUCUUGGUUAGGUAUAUGUUUAGGCUGGUUAGUGGCGGGGACAAAUGUGGUCUUAGACAUGCUAGCUACAUCAUUAUCUUUUUCCUUAUAUCCUAGACCUCUCCUAUUUCCAGCCUAGCUGCCUAUACCUAGCAUGUUAUCUAACUUAGACGACCCACUGUUGAAGGCAAAAAGUUGUUUACAACCUGAAUUUCUAAAGUCUCAUUCAUAGCGGUCAACUUGCUGACUUUUCUAGGGGACCUCUCAAGCUCACUGGUGAGAUUCUUAACCUGAGACUCUAAAGCUUCAUUCGUCGACUUAAGCUUACUCAGGAUAGAGGAAGAUUCCUUAACGUACGCUUCUAACUUAGCUUUAUCCAAUUUCAGCUUCUGAACAGUCGCCCUUAAGGCCUUAUUUUUACUGAGAAUUUUUAGGCUCUCUUGAUGCAUUUUUUUCAUAUGUCUCUUAGAUAUCUUCCUCACUUCCAAACUCACUUUUAGCUUCCUCACCACUAUCUAUGUCAUCAUUUUUCUCACCCUGGUCGGAUCCACUCGUAGCCCGAGCAACAAAGGUAACCGCCUGAGUUCCCUCGUGUGUGGUUUAUAAGAUAUCCCAACCUUCUUUCACAACCUCACACAUGGACACUCUCCUAAACUCCUUGGGAAAAAUCGUCAUAAAGAGGGCAUGAAGGGCUUUACUAUUCCAAUUGCAACUAUCUAGUUCAGCCUUAGACCAAUUUUCUGUGGGGGUGGAAGUAAUGGCAUUGUUAACCAUGGUACUAGGGCAAACCAACUGUUAGCUACACUCAACCAAAUCCUUUCAUCCAUAGAUUUCAAGAAAGCCCUCAUCCUAAUUUUCCAACACACAUAAUUACUACCAUCAAAAUAGGGCAGCACACUCUAUUAAGUACUCAUCUAGACAAUUGUAAGGUCAAGACUCAUGUUUAAGCUCUGAUAUCGCUUGAACAAAUCCAAAACGUUCAGUAAACACUUGAAAGAUCGGCUAGCUAGCUACAAUGCAAAUUCAAAUUUUAGAGUUACCGAGUAUACAUUUUAAGAUUACCAAUUUGUUCGACCUUACAUGCGGAAUUAUUCUAACCAAAGCAACACGUCACGAUAAUUAGUUUCUAGCUGGUAAACAUACAAUUCAAUUUAAUCCUAUGUUUAAAUGUUCCAGUUUGUAAUAAAUUAUGGAAAACAGUAAAAAUACAAAUUUUGAUGUCGAAGAAACCCAACGUGGGAAAAACUUCGGGACAAAGCCAGUUAUCUCCACUAUAGACAGUUCAGGGAAUAUACAACAACUGCAAUAACUCCUGUACCGACUAAGACCAGCUGUCACAUCUCACGAUCUACUGUCAUAGAUGUCUCUAGCCUACUAGACCUCCUGAUCUACCUCUCGUAGCCUCCUGCUACUGUAGAUACCUCUAGCCUCCUGCUAGACUUCUUGAUCUACCUUUUGUAGCCCAAUCUACUAUCUCCUACAGCCUCCUGGUCUUACGUUGAAUGUCUCUCCAAGUGGAACACCAAGAACCGCCUAUUCUUGUGCUUGUAACUGUGCUUCAAUCUACCUCUCUCAGUUUUCUAAUGAAAUAGUCCCCUCCUCAAUAGAUUAAGGAAGCCUAGUUCUUUGAAUUGAGAACCUUGAUAUUUUCCCAAAAACUGGUUGUCGUAUCACAAGAUGAAUAUGGUUGAAUCCUCCAAUGAAUUAUGUCUUGGAUCUCUUGAACACAGAUGAGUAGAUAUUGUAUAAUGAAAGAAUAGUACCCUAUAUCUCACAUCCCAGACUUUUCUUUUUACACUUGGGGUAAAUAAGUGUCCUGGGCCGUACAAAAUUCUCCAAAAUGCAAUUUCAGAGUUGGUCACGUAACACUGUCGCUCAAGCAAGAAGAGAGCGAUGACUUCUUCGCUCGAGUGACGCUUGGGCGAACAGUGGGCAACAAUGGUUCCUGCUUCAUCCGUUUGAGCAACAACUUGGCGAGCAGCUAACGAAAAUUCGACCAGUCUUCUACCUUGUUCCAAACUCAACCCUUGCCUAAACCAUCUAUACAAAUUGUAACCCAAGUCCCUGACUUUUACAAUGUGUUCAAUUAAGUCCCUUUUGUUCACAGAAUCGCCAAUUACAAUAUAAAACCUAAUAAGGGAUAACACACUGUAAUUUUUAUUUAGCAAUAAUGUUUGUUGAUGCAUAAAUUGAAGAACCAAUCGAUUUCAUAUCUUUGGUGCAACAAGUAAUUUUGUUCAUUGGGUAAACAAUUUAAUUUGUUUUCUAGCAGAUUUUGACUAACUAAAUCUAAACUCGAUCAUUUCUAAAUGGGUUGGUUCAGUUCAAAAUUGAAACGAUGAUGGAACCGCAUGGAUCUAUACCAACGGUUUCUAAACAAUGAAUUUAGGUUUGCUUUUGCGGUUUAGCAUUCUUUUUCUCUCCUCUAUCUUUUACGAUAUGUUGGCUUAUUUCAGACUUGUUUGUACAUAAUUGUGUCGGAUGAAAGUUGCUUGCUUCGACUUGAAAGCAUGGCCAUUUUAUUGUUGGAGGUGAAAAGUUGAAUUAGAGAAGAGAAAUAGACUUGAGUUUUGAAUUGAAAGUACUAGCAUGAAAUUGUAGAAAUAUUUAAAAUAUUAAAUUUUAGUAUUAACAUUUUUUUGCAAUAUUUUAAGAAAAUUAAGAACAAGAUUGCAAAAAUGAGUUGACCUUGUUGAAUUUGCUUGGUUCCAUUUCUCUUUCGUAAAAUGAUGAAAUAUUUUUUCGCUAGCCACAUUUAUUUUGUUUGAAGCAAGUAUAGAUUCGAGGUCGAAUCCUUUCGAAGAGGGAGGGAAUGAUGUCAUCCAAAAAAUGAAGGCAAGUAUGAGUAAGGAUCCGUUGAUCGUUGAAGAGGGGUCAAUGACUAGAUCACGAAAAAAGCAGUUAAAGAAGAGACGAAAUUAUUUGUGCAAGCUACAAUAGACUAAACAUUGAUCUUGGCAAGUAAAGGAGUAAGUUUCAUGGUUGGCUGGAAAGAGGAAUCGCUAUGGAUCAACUUGAUUCAAGUCACAAACGAAGGAGUUGCGAAACUACACUAUGCAACCACAUAGUGUAAUGGGGUAUGCAGUUGUAAAUCUGCAUGCAGAAACUUUUAGAAAGGAACUAAGGUGAUCUAUGCGACCACAAAGGAUAGAAAUAUGCGGCUGCAUAAUACAUUCCGGGCACGAUAUUUUUCCAAUUUUGUGAGAUCUUUUAUUUAAGUUAAAACUCUAGUUUUAUGGUAAUUUUUAGUAUGUUUAGAACUUAAUUCCGUUUUUGCUAGGAUUUUAUGAAUUUCCUAUAAAUAG
This 8669-nucleotide long non-coding RNA is filed under the name Olea europaea (common olive). RNAcentral's name for it is "long non-coding RNA (OEUR_LNC000271)". The record is from RNAcentral. Lineage: Eukaryota; Viridiplantae; Streptophyta; Magnoliopsida; Lamiales; Oleaceae.